UCAAGCAAUAAGGGCACAGGGCGGAUGCCUUGGCACUAAGAGCCGAUGAAAGACGUGAUAAGCUGCGAUAAGCUUCGGGGAGGAGCAAAUAUCCCGUGAUCCGGAGAUGUCUGAAUGGGGAAACCCACAUGAGCAAACCUCAUGUAUCCAUACGCCAAUCCAUAACGUAUGGAAGGGAACCCGGGGAACUGAAACAUCUAAGUACCCGGAGGAAAAGAAAGAAAACUCGAUUCCGUAAGUAGCGGCGAGCGAACGCGGAGGAGCCUAAACCGGAAUGCGUGCAUUCCGGGGUUACGGACUGCAUUUAAGAUUCUUUGAAGCUAACAGAACGGUUUUGGGAAAGCCGGCCACAGAGGGUGAAAGCCCCGUACGUGAAAGCUGAUGAGACUGAGCAGGAUCCAGAGUACCACGAGACACGUGGAACCUUGUGGGAAAUCAGGGGGACCACCCCCUAAGGCUAAAUACUACUUAGUGACCGAUAGCGCAUAGUACUGUGAAGGAAAGGUGAAAAGGACCCCGGGAGGGGAGUGAAAGAGAACCUGAAACCCUGUGUUUACAAGCUGUCGGAGCACGAUAAGUGCGACGGCGUACUUUUUGUAGAACGGUCCGGCGAGUUAUGAUACGCGGUAAGGUUAAGGACUUAAGGUCCGGAGCCGAAGCGAAAGCGAGUGUUAAGAGCACGAGGAAUCACGUAUCAUAGACCCGAAACCGGGUGAUCUAUCCAUGUCCAGGAUGAAGCUGCCGUAAGAGGUAGUGGAGGUCCGAACACACAUCCGUUGAAAAGGGUGGUGAUGAGGUGUGGAUAGGGGAGAAAUUCCAAUCGAACCCGGAGAUAGCUGGUUCUCCUCGAAAUAGCUUUAGGGCUAGCCUCGAUACAGAUUUGCGGAGGUAGAGCACUGAAUUUCCUAGGGGGCGUCAAAGCCUACCGAAGAAUAUCAAACUCCGAAUGCCGCGUAAUCGAUUAUCGGGAGUCAGACUGCACGAGAUAAGUUGGGCGGUCAAAAGGGAAAGAGCCCAGACCUUCAGUUAAGGUCCCCAAGUGCGCGUUAAGUGGAAAAGGAUGUGGGAUUUCGAAGACAACCAGGAUGUUGGCUCAGAAGCAGCCAUCCAUUCAAAGAGUGCGUAAUAGCUCACUGGUCGAGAGGUCCUGCGCCGAAAAUGUCCGGGGCUGAAACGCGCCACCGAAACUAAGGAACCGAAAGGUUGGUAGAGGAGCAUUGCAUGCGGAACGAAGCAGUACCGUAAGGAGCUGUGGACUGCAUGGAAGAGAGAAUGCCGGAAUGAGUAGCGAGAAUAAGGUGAGAAUCCUUAUGGCCGAAUAUCCAAGGUUUCCAGAGUAAAGCUGAUCUGCUCUGGGUAAGUCGGGGCCUAAGGCGAGGACGAGAGUCGUAGCCGAUGGACAACAGGUGGAGAUUCCUGUACUGCGGUAUGACAGAACUGUGGGGACACGUAAGGAAAGCGGAAGCCGGGAAUGGAAAGCCCGGUGCAAGCGGGGUACCAGUCACUUUGGCAAAUCCGGGUGGCAAUGGGAAGCCGUGAUGCGGAGCGAAAUAAAGUAGCGAAGUCCGUGAGCCAUGCGUCAAGAAAAGCCGCUAUCGUUUAUACCGUACCCGUACCGUAAACCGACACAGGUGGAUGAGGAGAGAAUCCUAAGGCCGGCGGAAGAAGCAUUGUCAAGGAACUCGGCAAAAUGACCCCGUAACUUCGGGAGAAGGGGUGCCUGCGAGAGCAGGCCGCAGAGAAUAGGCUCAAGCAACUGUUUAGCAAAAACACAGGUCUAUGCGAAACCGAAAGGUGAGGUAUAUGGGCUGACGCCUGCCCGGUGCUGGAAGGUUAAGAGGAGAGGUUAGCGCAAGCGAAGCUUUGAAUUUAAGCCCCAGUAAACGGCGGCCGUAACUAUAACGGUCCUAAGGUAGCGAAAUUCCUUGUCGGGUAAGUUCCGACCC
Molecule: ribosomal RNA, 1946 nt
Filed under: human gut metagenome
Description: bacterial LSU rRNA
Rfam family: Bacterial large subunit ribosomal RNA
Source: RNAcentral